GGAGCCAUAGGGAGGAAUCCCAACCCAGCCUUAGGAAAAGAAACCUGCCAUGGGAGUCUUGGAGAUUGGUGACCAUCCUAAUGACUUA
RNAcentral lists this microRNA precursor (88 nucleotides) under Equus asinus (donkey). RNAcentral's name for it is "mir-9014 microRNA precursor family". It matches the Rfam family "mir-9014 microRNA precursor family". Lineage: Eukaryota; Metazoa; Chordata; Mammalia; Perissodactyla; Equidae. RNAcentral also lists the same sequence under 1 other name. The record is from Rfam by way of RNAcentral.